GAUGAACGCUAGCGGCAGGCCUAACACAUGCAAGUCGAGGGGCAGCACAGAAACAGCAAUGUUUUGGUGGCGACCGGCGGACGGGUGCGUAACGCGUAUGCAACCUACCUUUAACAGGGGGAUAACGGAGAGAAAUUUCCACUAAUACCCCAUAACAUCGAUCAAGGCAUCUUGAUUGGUUGAAAACUCCGGUGGUUAAAGAUGGGCAUGCGUUGUAUUAGGUAGUUGGUGAGGUAAUGGCUCACCAAGCCUACGAUACAUAGGGGGACUGAGAGGUUUGCCCCCCACACUGGUACUGAGACACGGACCAGACUCCUACGGGAGGCAGCAGUGAGGAAUAUUGGUCAAUGGGGGCAACCCUGAACCAGCCAUGCCGCGUACAGGAAGACGGCUCUAUGAGUUGUAAACUGCUUUUAAACAGGGAUAAAGCACAGUAUGUAUACUGUGUUGAAGGUACUGUAAGAAUAAGGAUCGGCUAACUCCGUGCCAGCCGCCGCCAUAA
This 502-nucleotide ribosomal RNA is filed under the name uncultured bacterium. RNAcentral's name for it is "partial 16S ribosomal RNA". It matches the Rfam family "Bacterial small subunit ribosomal RNA", at positions 28 to 523 of the family's 1533-position model. The record is from RNAcentral.